GGGCCCGUAGCUCAGNGGUUAGAGCAGGGGACUCAUAAUCCCUUGGUCGCAGGUUCGAAUCCUGCCGGGCCCANNA
RNAcentral lists this transfer RNA (76 nucleotides) under Verrucomicrobiales bacterium. Its description in RNAcentral is "tRNA-Met". It matches the Rfam family "tRNA". From Rfam's summary of the family: Transfer RNA (tRNA) molecules are approximately 80 nucleotides in length. The record is from RNAcentral. Lineage: Bacteria; Pseudomonadati; Verrucomicrobiota; Verrucomicrobiia; Verrucomicrobiales.